AUGACGUCAUCCAGCCGUCGUCCGUCCGUCCGUCCCCCGCCCCCUCCCCCGGCAGGGCUGGAAGCUUCACAGGUAGCGGGAGAGCGCGUGCAAGGCGCUCGCCGCGCCGCCAGAGGUCACCGCCGCGGCAGGACCAGGGCACGCGACCCCCGCUCGCCCACUGUCCCCUCCCCACCCCCCCCCCCCCCCCGCGCAACCCGGUGGUCGGGACCCACCCGCAGCCCCGCGGGGCGGCGGGACCCCUCGCGCCGGGCGCCCACCCCUCCACCCCACCCCACACACCCCCCCCCCGGACCGGGACGCCGUGAAGAGCGGGUGCCGGGAUGCAGCACCCGCCUGCCUGCCUUUGCCCUGCGCCAUGGCGGGGGGACACCGGGGACACACGCACGCCCUCCCCGCCUUGGGUGGGCGCCUCUGUCGCGACACCGGGAGGCGAUGAAGGGACGCGCCGCGGCUUUCGGGCUGCUUUGCGGGCCCCCGAGGCGGGGGGCAGAGCCCGGCGGAGCCCCGCAGCCGCCGCAGCUCACACCCCACACCCCACACACCCCCCCCGCCGUGGAGCAGGACGGGAGGCAGCAGCCAGGACCCCCGGCACCGGCGCUGCUCACCGCGGGCAUCGAGCCCGUCGGGAGGCGUUUGGCCGCGCCGGCUGCCCCGGGCAGGGAGCGCCGCGGGCGAUGCUCCACGGCGCUGCGGGCAGCGCCCGGCGCGGCGUGGGGGCUAACACCCACGUUGAAGGACACCCAAGCGCGCCCCUUUCUGCCUUUUCUUCUUUUUUUCCCCCCCUCCUGUUUUUUCUUUUUUACCUUCUCCGCCCCCCGCCCCUUGCCGCACUGCAGGCGCUACUUCCAACGCCCGUGCGUCCGCUGCAAACACCGCUCCCGGCCCCGCCGGCCCAUCCCCAAGCCCCGCCGGCGGCUUGCGGGGAGGAGAGGCAGGGGCCGCCCCCCCGGCGCCGAGCCGCCCUCACCUGCCGGAGGCGAUGGCUCCCGGUGCCGGUCGCUGACUCCGCGCCCUCGCCGGUUCGCACGCACAGGGCGGGGGGGCGAAACGCGGGUCGCCGGCGCGCGGCGCCUUUAA
Molecule: long non-coding RNA, 1080 nt
Filed under: Accipiter nisus (Eurasian sparrowhawk)
Lineage: Eukaryota; Metazoa; Chordata; Aves; Accipitriformes; Accipitridae
Description: lncRNA (ENSANIG00000011092.1)
Source: RNAcentral